RNAcentral lists this ribosomal RNA (253 nucleotides) under uncultured bacterium. RNAcentral's name for it is "partial 16S ribosomal RNA". It matches the Rfam family "Bacterial small subunit ribosomal RNA", at positions 524 to 776 of the family's 1533-position model. The record is from RNAcentral.
UACAGAGGUGGCAAGCGUUGCUCGGAUUCAUUGGGCGUAAAGGGUCCGUAGGCGGCCUAGAAAGUCGGAUGUGAAAUCCCACGGCUUAACCGUGGAACUGCAUUCGAAACUCCUAGGCUAGAGUGUGAGAGGGGUGAAGGGAAUUCCCGGUGUAAGGGUGAAAUCUGCAGAGAUCGGAAAGAACACCAGUCGCGAAGGCGCUUCACUGGCUCGCAACCGACGCUGAGGGACGAAAGCUAGGGGAGCAAACGGG